RNAcentral lists this RNase P RNA (318 nucleotides) under Comamonas sp. BIGb0124. RNAcentral describes it as "Bacterial RNase P class A". It matches the Rfam family "Bacterial RNase P class A". From Rfam's summary of the family: Ribonuclease P (RNase P) is a ubiquitous endoribonuclease, found in archaea, bacteria and eukarya as well as chloroplasts and mitochondria. Its best characterised activity is the generation of mature 5'-ends of tRNAs by cleaving the 5'-leader elements of precursor-tRNAs. Cellular RNase Ps are ribonucleoproteins. RNAcentral also lists the same sequence under 1 other name. The record is from Rfam by way of RNAcentral. Lineage: Bacteria; Pseudomonadati; Pseudomonadota; Betaproteobacteria; Burkholderiales; Comamonadaceae.
GAAGCACGCCAGACCGCCGCUGGUGCAAUCAUGGAAACAUGGCACUGGAGGAACGUCCGGACUGCGCAGGGCAGCGUAGGAGGUAACACCUCUCCACCGCGAGGUGAGGAUCAGAGCAACAGAGACGAGCCGGUUCAGUCCGGGUGAAACGGGCAAUCUCUACGCGCAGCAAUACCAAAUAGGUGGACAUCGAGGCGGCCCGCUGAGUCCACGGGUAGGUAGCACCGAGCCGGGUGGCGACAUCCGGCCCAGAUUAAUGGCGGUCACAUGGCGGGCAACCGUCGUGCACAGAAUCCGGCUUAUCGGCGUGCUUCACAC